AAUGGGCGCAAGCCUGAGGGAGCAACGCCGCGUGGAGGACGACGGCCUUCGGGUUGUAAACUCCUUUGGGGGGGACGAUGAUCGACGGUACCCCCCGAAUCAGCCCCCGGCUAACUCUGUGCCAGCAGCCGCGGUAAGACAGAGGGGGCAAGCGUUGUCCGGACUGACUGGGCGUAAAGCGCGCGCAGGCGGUCUGAGGCGUCGGUGCUUAAAGUCCACCGCUUAACGGUGGGAAAGGUGCCGAUACGCUCAGACUGGAGGGCGGGCGAGGGUGGUGGAAUUGCCGGUGUAGUGGUGAAAUGCGUAGAGAUCGGCAGGAACACCAGUGGCGAAGGCGGCCACCUAGCCCGCACCUGACGCUGAGGCGCGACAGCGUGGGGAGCGAACUGGAUUAGAUACCCAGGUAGUCCACGCCGUAAACGAUGCCGACUCGGUCUUCGUGGGGCGAAUAGCCCUGGGGGGGCCCGAGCUCACGCGCUAAGUCGGCCGCCUGGGGACUACGAGCGCAAGCUUA
RNAcentral lists this ribosomal RNA (514 nucleotides) under uncultured Chloroflexota bacterium. RNAcentral's name for it is "bacterial SSU rRNA". It matches the Rfam family "Bacterial small subunit ribosomal RNA", at positions 370 to 896 of the family's 1533-position model. The record is from RNAcentral. Lineage: Bacteria; Bacillati; Chloroflexota.